AUGAACUUACCUGUUGAACUACAUACCACACUUUCUGCAGAAUGGAACCAACAAAAUAUCUUAGCAAGAUGGUCAUGUUUUACGGGAGAGAGGGAGAGAGAGAGACUAACACAUAAAACAAAUAAUUUGCAAGAUAAUAAUCUAACAGUAAAGAAAAAGAAAGACAGGGAAUGGAGGAAUCAAGAAGUACCCUGGGCGACCGCGAGCGCUGCGGAUGUGUCCGCCCAGCACCCAGCACACAGGCAACAAAAUGCGAUGGAUUUCAAGUUUGUUGACUCUCCAAGGUGGAAUCUGGCUAUUCUCUAG
This 306-nucleotide ribosomal RNA is filed under the name Triticum aestivum (bread wheat). RNAcentral describes it as "partial small subunit ribosomal RNA". The record is from RNAcentral. Lineage: Eukaryota; Viridiplantae; Streptophyta; Magnoliopsida; Poales; Poaceae.